RNAcentral lists this transfer RNA (73 nucleotides) under Vibrio phage phi-pp2. RNAcentral describes it as "Vibriophage phi-pp2 tRNA-Met". It matches the Rfam family "tRNA". From Rfam's summary of the family: Transfer RNA (tRNA) molecules are approximately 80 nucleotides in length. Their secondary structure includes four short double-helical elements and three loops (D, anti-codon, and T loops). RNAcentral also lists the same sequence under 2 other names. The record is from RNAcentral. Lineage: Duplodnaviria; Heunggongvirae; Uroviricota; Caudoviricetes; Pantevenvirales; Straboviridae.
GGAGAUGUAGCUCAAGUGGUAGAGCAAUGGUCUCAUAAGCCAUUAGAUCCGAUUUCGAGUAUCGGUGUCUCCA